GGACAACCUGCCUAGGGGCUGGACUACCUCCGGGAAACUGUUGAUAAUUCCCCAUGGACCAUACAUACUGUAAUGUUUUGUGGGAAAAAGAUCCGGCGCCUUAGGAUGGAUCUGCUACCUAUCAGGUAGUAGUGGGUGUAACGUACCUACUAGCCUACGGCGGGUACGGGUUGUGAGAGCAAGAGCCCGGAGAUGGAUUCUGAGACAUGAAUCCAGGCCCUACGGGGCGCACAGGCGCGAAAACUUUACAAUGUCCCAAACCGCGAUAAGGGGACACUGAGUGCCAGCACCAUGGGUUGGCUGUCCGCAUGUAUAAAUCACAUGUGUCACCAAGGACCGAGGAAGUACGGUGCCAGCCGCCGCGCGAACAUCGGCGCGCCGAGAGUAGCGCAUUAUUAUUGGCCCUAAAGGGUCCGUACUCGGUAUGAUCAGUCUUCCGGGAAAUCUGACAGCUCAACUGUUAGGCUUCUGGUGCAUACUGUCAGACUUGGAACCGGCAGAGUGAAGAGGUACUACAGGUGUAGGAGUGAAAUCUUGUAAUCCUUGUGGGACCACCAGUGUCGAAGGCGUCUUACUAUAACGGGUUCGACGGAGAUUGACGUAAGCUGGGCGCACGAACCGCAUUAGAUACCCGCGUAGUCCCACCCGUCUACGAUGCUCGCUACGUGUCUGGAAUGGAGCGACUCGUUUCACGUGCCCGCAUGGGAAGACGUGA
RNAcentral lists this ribosomal RNA (715 nucleotides) under uncultured archaeon. RNAcentral's name for it is "bacterial SSU rRNA". It matches the Rfam family "Archaeal small subunit ribosomal RNA", at positions 102 to 817 of the family's 1478-position model. The record is from RNAcentral.